RNAcentral lists this ribosomal RNA (428 nucleotides) under uncultured bacterium. RNAcentral's name for it is "bacterial SSU rRNA". It matches the Rfam family "Bacterial small subunit ribosomal RNA", at positions 355 to 774 of the family's 1533-position model. The record is from RNAcentral.
UGGGGAAUAUUGCGCAAUGGGCGAAAGCCUGACGCAGCGACGCCGCGUGGGUGAUGAAGGCCUUCGGGUCGUAAAGCCCUGUCGGGAGGGACGAAACCUCGGUGACCUAAUACGUCACCGACCUGACGGUACCUCUUAAGGAAGCACCGGCUAACUACGUGCCAGCAGCCGCGGUAAUACGUAGGGUGCGAGCGUUAAUCGGAAUUACUGGGCGUAAAGCGUGCGCAGGCGGUUUUGUAAGACAGAUGUGAAAUCCCCGGGCUUAACCUGGGAACUGCGUUUGUGACUGCAAGGCUGGAGUACGGCAGAGGGAGGUGGAAUUCCACGUGUAGCAGUGAAAUGCGUAGAGAUGUGGAGGAACACCGAUGGCGAAGGCAGCCCCCUGGGCCUGUACUGACGCUCAUGCACGAAAGCGUGGGGAGCAAACA